Molecule: ribosomal RNA, 119 nt
Filed under: Pteropus alecto (black flying fox)
Lineage: Eukaryota; Metazoa; Chordata; Mammalia; Chiroptera; Pteropodidae
Source: RNAcentral
GUCUAUGGCCAUGCCACCCUGAACAUGCCCGAUCUCGUCUGAUCUCGGAAGUUAAGCGGGGUCGGGCCUGGUUAGUACUUGGAUGGUGGACCGCCUAGGAAGACCAGGUGCUGUAGGUG